This is an RNA transcript of Oncorhynchus kisutch (coho salmon), 1409 nucleotides long. RefSeq lists it as uncharacterized. The record is from RefSeq and is a predicted model, not a curated record. The transcript has 6 exons. Lineage: Eukaryota; Metazoa; Chordata; Actinopteri; Salmoniformes; Salmonidae.
UUAAAUGUAUUUGGCUAAGGUGUAUGUAAACUUCAGACUUCAACUAUUUCACACUUUUUUUCAAACAAUGUGGUUUUUGUUUAAAGGAAGAUAAUCUUUGAAAUGUGUGUUGAAUUACUGUAUUUACACCACCUCCAUCUGUGAUUUCCACUGCAGAUUCUCUCCUUCUUUAGUUACUGUUCAAUCUGUUCUUUUCUCCUGUCCUUACUUGAACUUCUCUUCCAUCACUGACUCGUGACCAGAUCAUAUAUGAGCUAUGUGUUGUAAGUUACUCAGUCCUCCAGAUUUCUUGCCUAUUUUGCAUACCUCUCUCUGCUUUCUUUUAUUCUCCUUGCACAAUUUCUCAUGUAUUUUAUAACAUAAUAUUGUUCACAAAUCAGAACCUGCUGUGAUCUUCUGUGGUUGUCCUUGUAUUAACGUUGGCUCUGCUCUGCCUGUUCGUCCUACUCGAUCCAAACUAAUAAAAUGUUUUUGAAUGUCUUCAAGGCUUUGCAAGAGCGGGACAAUCAAAUCAAGAUGCUGACAGAGCAAGUAUACGGGGGAGAUGGAGAGAAAUGCCCUGCUCAUAGAGGAACUCAAGAAUCCCCUGAAGAAAGACAGAGCUUGCCAUCAGCCAUGCAGCAGAGGAAGCUGGACAAACUAAAUGCUAAGCUGCAAGCCACAGAGACAAGAGCACGGGAGGCAGAACGUGUGGCCGAGCUAGCCAAGACAGACGCCAGGGACACCCUAAACCACAUGAUAAUCUACGAGUCUGGCACUGAUGGUCUGCAGGUGGCCAUCGCUGAGAUCAAAGAAUGUAAGAAUCAGAUGAGAGAUGAGACCGCGAGACGGAGGCCAUGACCACAGAUAUCAACCAGCUGGAAAUGAGAAUUAAUGCAGAUGUUAAGGAAAGUCUCGGUCUGAAGCCCCAAGAGGAAGUGGAUCUGACGGAAUUCAGAAGAACCGAAUCCCUGAAACAGCGGCAGUUCAAAGCAGAGAACCAGGAUCUCACCAAAGAGAUCGAAUGACUGGAAGGGGAGAUACUUGAACUGAAGAAACAAAUCAGAGGAAUGGUAAAGGACAAAGGCACAGCACAUGGAACCACCGUUGGCAGGCAGACAUUCAAUCAAAACAAAACAAUGCGUAACACGUUAUAAAUAAUAUCAAAUAUCAAUGCAGAAUGACGAAUUAGCCAUCCAUUGUGUUAAAGUGUAUAAUAAAGUGUCUUCUAUGCCGUCACUGUUGUCAAAAGAUUAUAAACAUGUUAAAUAAAGUUACUAACCCAGUCAGUCUUUGGGCCACAUCCAGGUUCUUUAUCAGUGGCACACAUGAAGCAGUUGUUGGCUUUGUUGAACUCUGAAAUCCUAGGCAUGAACUGAACAUAUGGCUGUCCCACACAACUACAUAAAAAUAAACAAUUAACAUUUACU